UGAGGAACACGUGGGUCACCACCCCCGGAGGGGGGGAUACCCCGUCAAAAGACGGGACAAUCCCGCAUACGCUCUACGGAGGAAAGCCGCAGGGCGCUCCGGGACGGGCCUGCGGCCCAUCAGGUAGUUGGGGUGGUAAUGGCGCACCAAGCCAAUGACGGGUUCCCGGUCUGAAAGGACAACCGGGCAAACUGGGACUGCGACACGGCCCAAACUCCUACGGGAGGCAGCAGCAAGGAAUUUUCCCCAAGGGGCGCAAGCCUGAGGGAGCAACGCCGCGGGGAGGACAACGGCCUUCGGGUUGUAAACUCCUUUCGGGCGGGACAAUGAUGACGGUACCGCCAAAAGCAGCCCCGGUUAACUCUGUGCCAGCAGCCGCGGUAAAACAAAGGGGGCAAGCGUUGUCCGGAGUUACUGGGCGUAAAGGGCGCGAAGGCGGUCUGCUGCGUCGGCGCUGAAAGCGCCCCGCUUAACGGGGCGAGGCGCGCCAAUACAAGCAGGCUGGAGGCAAGCAAAGGGCGGCGGAAUUCCGGGUGGAGCGGUGAAAUGCGUAAAGAUCCGGAGGAACGCCAGUGGAGAAGUCGGCCGCCUGGGCUCGACCUGACGCUGCGGCGCGACAGCGUGGGGAGCAAACCGGAUUAGAUACCCGGGUAGUCCACGCCGUAAACAAUGCCGGCUCGGCGUUUGGCGCGCGCGAGCGCGCUGGGCGCCUUAGCUCACGCGGUAAGCCGGCCGC
This 736-nucleotide ribosomal RNA is filed under the name Chloroflexus sp. RNAcentral's name for it is "bacterial SSU rRNA". It matches the Rfam family "Bacterial small subunit ribosomal RNA", at positions 107 to 872 of the family's 1533-position model. The record is from RNAcentral. Lineage: Bacteria; Bacillati; Chloroflexota; Chloroflexia; Chloroflexales; Chloroflexaceae.